AUUUAUGUGAUGACGAAGAAUAGUACUUUUGAAGCAUUGAACUUAAGCGAGUCUGGGAGGGUGUGAGCCAGAUGUCAAAUUCUUAAGGAACGGAACUUUCGAGCAUAUUUAACAAAGUGGUAAAAAGCUUGCUUUUUACAAAUAGGGUGGAACCGCGGGAAUAACUCUCGUCCCUAUG
RNAcentral lists this non-coding RNA (178 nucleotides) under Turicibacter sanguinis. RNAcentral describes it as "T-box sequence". It matches the Rfam family "T-box leader". From Rfam's summary of the family: Uncharged tRNA acts as the effector for transcription antitermination of genes in the T-box leader family. The record is from RNAcentral. Lineage: Bacteria; Bacillati; Bacillota; Erysipelotrichia; Erysipelotrichales; Turicibacteraceae.